UACGGAGGGUGCAAGCGUUAUCCGGAUUCACUGGGUUUAAAGGGUGUGUAGGUGGGCUUGUAAGUCAGUGGUGAAAUCUCCGUGCUUAACAUGGAAACUGCCAUUGAUACUAUGGGUCUUGAAUUAUCUGGAGGUUAGCGGAAUAUGUCAUGUAGCGGUGAAAUGCUUAGAUAUGACAUAGAACACCAAUUGCGAAGGCAGCUGGCUACAGGUACAUUGACACUGAGGCACGAAAGCGUGGGGAUCAAACAGG
RNAcentral lists this ribosomal RNA (253 nucleotides) under uncultured bacterium. Its description in RNAcentral is "partial 16S ribosomal RNA". It matches the Rfam family "Bacterial small subunit ribosomal RNA", at positions 524 to 776 of the family's 1533-position model. The record is from RNAcentral.